RNAcentral lists this non-coding RNA (738 nucleotides) under Rusicada privata. Lineage: Eukaryota; Metazoa; Arthropoda; Insecta; Lepidoptera; Erebidae. The record is from RNAcentral.
AUAAAUUUUAGUGUUAAUUUUAUAUAUUUUAAUAAUAUUUAAAGAUUUAAAUGUAGUAAUUAAUAUUAAUUAUUUAAGAAAUUAAGAAUUAGUAAUAUAAUAAUUAAUAACAAAUUUUGUGCCAGCAGUUGCGGUUAUACAAAAAUUAAAUUAAAUUUUAUUAGUAGGUUAAUAAAUAAAUUAUUUAUAAUUUAAAUUUAUAUGUGUAUUAUUAGGUGAAAUUUUAAUUUAAUUAAAAUUAUUUAAUUUUUAUGAUUUAAUAAAUUUUAUAAAAAACUAGGAUUAGAUACCCUAUUAUAAAAAUUUAAAUUUUAUAUACUAAAAUAGUAAAUAAUUAUUUAUUGAAACUUAAAUAAUUUGGCGGUAUUUUAGUUCAUUUAGAGGAAUCUGUUUAUUAAUUGAUAAUCCACGAAUAAAUUUACUUAAUUUAAAAUUUUGUAUAUCGUUGUUAAAAAAAUAUUUUUUAAUGGUAAAUAAUAUUUAGAAAUUAAAAUUAUAAAUUAAAUCAGAUCAAGAUACAGAUAAUAAUUAAGAAUAUAAUGGAUUACAAUAAAUUUAUUUAAAUGAAUAAUAGUUUGAAAUAAUUAUUUGAAGGUGGAUUUAAAUGUAAUUUUAUUUAAUUAAUUAAAAUGAUUUAAAAUUGGAAUAUGUACAUAUUGCCCGUCGCUUUCAUAUAUUUAUUAAAAUUGAAAUAAGUCGUAACAAAGUAGAGGUACUGGAAAGUGUUUCUAGAAAGAC